GGGCGGAGGCGGAGGCGGAGGGAAUCCUCGGCAUAAAAAGUCAAAAGGCGUCUUUGCACUCUGAGCCGCACGUGAGCAACUACACUCCCUACACAUGAUGGACGCCAGCAUGCGAGCGCAGAUUUUCAUUCUGGAGAGGCAACGGCGAGAGCUGCUGACCAUCAAUGAGAAAUGGGCCAGAGAGUACAACAACAUGGUGGCAUUCUACCAAAAUAAGGUUAAUAGAAAUGACUGUAUUAUGAUUGCAAUA
This is a long non-coding RNA of Hippocampus comes (tiger tail seahorse), 250 nucleotides long. RefSeq lists it as uncharacterized. The record is from RefSeq and is a predicted model, not a curated record. The transcript has 3 exons. Lineage: Eukaryota; Metazoa; Chordata; Actinopteri; Syngnathiformes; Syngnathidae.